Non-coding RNA from Xyrichtys novacula (pearly razorfish), 902 nucleotides. The record is from the annotation of a GenBank genome assembly. NCBI's taxonomy places the organism in Eukaryota, Metazoa, Chordata, Actinopteri, Labriformes, Labridae.
CUUCGACUGAGAAUGAACUGGACCUCCACACCCAAAUCUUGCUAAACCUGUAAGUCCUGUAGAAAAGGAGCAGUGCAUAAAGAAGAAUCAGUGUGUCAUCAAAGCAAAGCACUGCCAGGACAGAUCUGUCAUACUACUGCAGUUAUCACACUUCAGAUUUGUAAGUUUGUUUUCCUUCCUUAAGACUUGAAUUCAAAAUGAACAAAGUCAAAUAAUGCUGUUGUUUGCUCAAAUACAAGAAGCUGAUUCCCUAAUCUUGUUCACUGUCACCAUGUUAAUGGUUUAAUGUUUAAAUAUCAUACAUGUACAUCUGUUUAAAAUUAUUUAAGGCUUCAGACAGUUAAUAUUGACUUCACUUGGCAGGCUUGACAGUGAAGUUCAAAGUCAGGGUUAGUCACUGCUGUUACAUGAGCUGAAUCUUGACAUGAUAUAACACAGGACCACCUGACCCUUGCUCACUCUGUUUACUUUGUUUAAAUCCCUUUUAGAAAUACAGUAAAUAAAGGAGAGUUUUGAGAAAGUAGACUAAAAUUAGUUCACUUACAUGAGCUCCUCAGGUUCACUGUAGGCCUAUUUAAACAAACGCUCAGCCUCUCCUGUUAAGUUGUACUAUAGUGGGGCCUCUGGUUUCUAAAUUAAUCACCAUUCAGUUAUAAUUAUUUACCUACAUGUAAAGUUAGUUUUGUCUGAGCUCAAUGCACUCAGAAUAAACAAACAGCAAUUUUAAUGUAAUUUGAGCAUGAAGUUUAAACUGUUUCUUAAUUUUAAAAUGAUGCCAAAUGUUGCCACAUUUAUAUAAUAUUUCUCACAUUUUUUUCACAGUUUCUCUGAAGAACAAUGGACGUCAUCACACAGUUACUACAAGCCUCUAAAAUUACAGAGACGCAUCAUUUAAUACAGAG